UACGUAGGGUGCAAGCGUUAAUCGGAAUUACUGGGCGUAAAGCGUGCGCAGGCGGUCUUGCAAGACAGGUGUGAAAUCCCCGGGCUUAACCUGGGAACUGCAUUUGUGACUGCAUCGCUGGAGUGCGGCAGAGGGGGAUGGAAUUCCGCGUGUAGCAGUGAAAUGCGUAGAUAUGCGGAGGAACACCGAUGGCGAAGGCAAUCCCCUGGGCCUGCACUGACGCUCAUGCACGAAAGCGUGGGGAGCAAACAGG
This 253-nucleotide ribosomal RNA is filed under the name uncultured bacterium. RNAcentral describes it as "partial 16S ribosomal RNA". It matches the Rfam family "Bacterial small subunit ribosomal RNA", at positions 524 to 776 of the family's 1533-position model. The record is from RNAcentral.